AAUAGUAAUGGAUACUUAAAGGCAAAUUUUUCUGUGGGAAGCUUCUACUACUAGCAAAAUGCUGGCUUUUUUCAUUCCCAUAUUUUUCAGAUCACUUAGGAAGUUGCUAUUAAAAUUUUAUAUAUAUAGCACCUACAGAAUACUGGGGAAACAUUUCUGAAUUCUCAGGCACUGUGGGUAUUUGCCUGGCCUGUAUGUGACCUUUAGUAAGACCAGGCUGAGUGAGCACAAGAGAAACAUGGGCUUUUGUAAGAAGCAAGAGGAACCAUUCCAAAUGGGCCUGCCCCAUUGUCUAAAUAUGUUGUUACAGUUCCAUUAUUCCUUUCCCCCUGCCAAAAAGGUAUAUGAAAUCAUCUUUUUUACCACUAUUAGUAGAACACUAGGAAAAUUUAUAUUUUAUAUUAUCCUUGUCCCACAGAACCUAUAUGAUAGGACAGUAAAGAAAUCAGCACCAAAAAAAAGUAAAUAAUCUAUACACAAAUAAAAAGAAAGAAAUGUAUAGUUCCAAGCUAUCUAUGAACUUAGUAUGUAGUCAUGAAAGAUUUGAGAGAAAAUGGGAGCAUGAAAGCGAGCUAACGGAUGAACUGCUCAAACUCUUCUCACCCUGUGGUGCCAGAGACAGCUGAAAUUUUUAAUCAAUUUGUCACAUUUUCCAUUUUGUAUUUCUUCAGAUCUGUUCCAUCAUCCAAAAAAGAUGGUUUGGGGCUAAAAUAUAUACUUUCCUUUCUAACUGUAGAACUCUGUGGUUGAUUUUUUCAAAACUAAGUAAAAAAUUGACUGAAAUGACUCAAUAGCAUAAUUUUUAAGAUAAAGAAAUCAUUGAUUAUUCAAAAUUUAGAAAAGUUUCAUAUUGUCAGCAUUUUUGAAUCAAGCAUCCAUAUCCUGUGCAAUUAAACCAUAAACAAUAUUUUAUCAUAUGUAUGCCAGGGCUGAACUGUAGACAAAUAGAAAGGCAGUGUAAAUGUAGAUGCCUGCUGUCUACAAAUCAAGCCCUGAAGAUCAACAAGUGGGAGGGGAUGCUAAAUGCUCAUUUUCCUGUGAGAAUAGAAUCCCAUAAAGAAAAUAUUUGGCUACUACGGAGGAGAAAACCAUUACAUCAAGUUGUAUGCUUCACUGGAUAUUUAUUAAUGAACUUUCAUGAGUUGUAAUCACUCAUGUAACAUCUUUUAAAUAUGUGUCCUAAGUUCCUACAAUAAAUGAAGUACAAGUACUGCCCUAGGAUCAAUUUCAUUGGCAGCAAUAAUAUAACUAAAACCCUAUUCUAUGAGAAUUAAGAAA
Molecule: long non-coding RNA, 1278 nt
Organism: Heterocephalus glaber (naked mole-rat)
Lineage: Eukaryota; Metazoa; Chordata; Mammalia; Rodentia; Bathyergidae
Source: Ensembl